RNAcentral lists this transfer RNA (68 nucleotides) under Suwallia bimaculata. RNAcentral's name for it is "tRNA-Cys". It matches the Rfam family "tRNA". From Rfam's summary of the family: Transfer RNA (tRNA) molecules are approximately 80 nucleotides in length. Their secondary structure includes four short double-helical elements and three loops (D, anti-codon, and T loops). The record is from RNAcentral. Lineage: Eukaryota; Metazoa; Arthropoda; Insecta; Plecoptera; Chloroperlidae.
GGUCCUAUAGUCAAUAUUAUGAUAUCAGACUGCAAUUCUGAAGGAGUAGAUUUGUUUUACUAAGACCU